RNAcentral lists this ribosomal RNA (498 nucleotides) under uncultured bacterium. RNAcentral's name for it is "partial 16S ribosomal RNA". It matches the Rfam family "Bacterial small subunit ribosomal RNA", at positions 29 to 523 of the family's 1533-position model. The record is from RNAcentral.
AUUGAACGCUGGCGGCAUGCUUUACACAUGCAAGUCGAACGGUAACAGGCCGCAAGGUGCUGACGAGUGGCGAACGGGUGAGUAAUGCAUCGGAACGUGCCCAGUCGUGGGAGAUAACGCAGCGAAAGCUGCGCUAAUACCGCAUACGAUCUAUGGAUGAAAGCGGGGGACCGUAAGGCCUCGCGCGAUUGGAGCGGCCCAUGUCAGAUUAGGUGGUUGGGGGGGUAAAGGCUCACCAAGCCGACGAUCUGUAGCUGGUCUGAGAGGACGACCGGCCACACUGUGACGGAGACACGGCCCAGACUCCUACGGGAGGCAGCAGUGGGGAAUUUUGGACAAUGGGGGCAACCCUGAUCCAGCAAUGCCGCGUGCAGGAAGAAGGCCUUCGGGUUGUAAACGGCUUUUGUACGGAACGAAACGGCUCUGGUUAAUACCCGGGGCUAAUGACGGUACCGUAAGAAUAAGCACCGGCUAACUACGUGCCAGCAGCCGCCGUAA